GACGAACGCUGGCGGCGUGCUUAACACAUGCAAGUCGAACGAUGAAACCUAGCUUGCUAGGUCGAUUAGUGGCGAACGGGUGAGUAACACGUGACCAACCUGCCCCUUUCUCUGGGAUAACGCUCCGAAAGGAGUGCUAAUACCGGAUACUCACAUCGAGGCACAUGCCUUGGUGUGGAAAGUUUUUCGGAAAGGGAUGGAGUCGCGGCCUAUCAGCUGGUUGGUGAGGUAAAGGCUCACCAAGCCGACGACGGGUAGCCGGCCUGAGAGGGCGACGGGCCACACUGGGACUGAGACACGGCCCAGACUCCUACGGGAGGCAGCAGUGGGGAAUAUUGCACAAUGGGCGCAAGCCUGAUGCAGCGACGCCGCGUGAGGGAUGAAGGUCUUCGGAUUGUAAACCUCUUUCAGUAGGGACGCAGCGAAAGUGACGGUACCUAAAGAAGAAGCACCGGCUAACUACGUGCCAGCCGCCGCCGUAA
RNAcentral lists this ribosomal RNA (482 nucleotides) under uncultured bacterium. Its description in RNAcentral is "partial 16S ribosomal RNA". It matches the Rfam family "Bacterial small subunit ribosomal RNA", at positions 28 to 523 of the family's 1533-position model. The record is from RNAcentral.